AUUGAACGCUGGCGGCAGGCCUAACACAUGCAAGUCGAGCGGAUGAAGGGAGCUUGCUCCUGGAUUCAGCGGCGGACGGGUGAGUAAUGCCUAGGAAUCUGCCUGGUAGUGGGGGAUAACGUCCGGAAACGGGCGCUAAUACCGCAUACGUCCUGAGGGAGAAAGUGGGGGAUCUUCGGACCUCACGCUAUCAGAUGAGCCUAGGUCGGAUUAGCUAGUUGGUGGGGUAAAGGCCUACCAAGGCGACGAUCCGUAACUGGUCUGAGAGGAUGAUCAGUCACACUGGAACUGAGACACGGUCCAGACUCCUACGGGAGGCAGCAGUGGGGAAUAUUGGACAAUGGGCGAAAGCCUGAUCCAGCCAUGCCGCGUGUGUGAAGAAGGUCUUCGGAUUGGAAAGCACUUUAAGUUGGGAGGAAGGGCAGUAAGUUAAUACAUUGCUGUUUUGACGUUACCAACAGAAUAAGCACCGGCUAACUUCGUG
This 484-nucleotide ribosomal RNA is filed under the name uncultured bacterium. RNAcentral describes it as "partial 16S ribosomal RNA". It matches the Rfam family "Bacterial small subunit ribosomal RNA", at positions 30 to 507 of the family's 1533-position model. The record is from RNAcentral.